AUGGCGAAGGAGCCCCCCUUCUCCCUGCCCCCGGUGGUCUUCAACCCCUCCACACCGGCCCACCGCCGCCACCCUAUCCCCGGCCCCGGCGCCUCCCCGCCACCUGCCUUCGCGCCUCCCCGCCCCUCCACCUCCUCCGCCGCCAACCCCCUGCCCUUCAUGUCCUUCGACAUACCCGCUCAGUCCAACUCCACGCCGCCCAUCUUCACCGGGCCCAUCGGCGGCUCCAGCGCCUCCUUCGAAGACGAGCCGCCGCUCCUCGAGGAGCUCGGCAUCAACACGCGUCAGAUCUGGCGGAAGACGCUCUCCAUCCUCCACCCGCUCCGCUCCGCCGACCCGUCCCUCCACGCCGACGCCGAUCUCUCCGGCCCCUUCCUGUUCCUCCUAUCCUUCGGCCUCUUCCAGCUCCUGGCUGGGAAGUUCCACUUCGGGAUCGUCCUCGGGUGGGUCACCGUCGCCUCCCUCUUCCUCUACUUCGUCUUUUCCAUGCUCUCGGGCGGACGCCGUGGCGACCUUGACCUCUACAGGUGCGUCAGCCUGGUCGGAUACUGCAUGCUCCCCAUGGUCAUCUUCUCUGCCGUUUCCCUCUUCCUGCCACGGGGCGGUGGGCUCAUCUUCGGGAUGGGCAUGGGAUUCGUGCUGUGGUCUACCAGGGUCUGCACCAGGUUACUAGCAGAGCUUGCUUCCAGCGGCGAUGAGCAUAGGGGACUCAUUGCCUACGCGUGCUGGCUCGUCUACAUGCUCUUCUCUCUGCUCGUCAUCUUUUGA
RNAcentral lists this ribosomal RNA (768 nucleotides) under Triticum aestivum (bread wheat). Its description in RNAcentral is "partial small subunit ribosomal RNA". Lineage: Eukaryota; Viridiplantae; Streptophyta; Magnoliopsida; Poales; Poaceae. The record is from RNAcentral.